CGGGACACCACCCUGACAUUACCGUGUGUUACAGGCUCAAGGAGCCCCCAGAAAUACUGAGGGGGUCAGCCAUAGUGCACACUCAGGUCACAGAGCACCCCAUGUUUGGGCCACAGUCAUGACAAGUAGUUUCCGCUGCAAGUAAACUUUUGUCCGUUAUCAUACUGAGAGCCAUUAAGUGUCACCACCAAUGUGUCUGAAGUCCCAUUUGACAGAAGAUAACCAUUAUUUUCCCAUUUCAAAUGUGGGGAUGGAUAACCAUUAAGCCAACUGCAUGUCAAUGACAAUCCCGAAGGAGCCCCUGUGUUCUCUACAUUGCAUGCCAUAUAAGAAACAAUUCAGUGUAUGUAAAAAUAAGGGCUCAUGCACUGCAACAUGGAGCUUGUAUGGCUCAGAGGGACUCUGGAAUGUUCCAAAAGAAGACUACAUCCAUAUACAUAUACGGGGCAUUUAUCAUCGUUGCUUUGAUCUGUGUAUCCUGUGGAAUACUUUAGAUUCUGAGGAGUACAGUGACCAGCUUUUUUUUUUUUUUUGUUUACUGUUAAUAAAAUGGUUAACGAUGGCUUGUGGGGAA
Hyla sarda is the source of this 574-nucleotide long non-coding RNA. RefSeq lists it as uncharacterized. The record is from RefSeq and is a predicted model, not a curated record. Lineage: Eukaryota; Metazoa; Chordata; Amphibia; Anura; Hylidae. The transcript has 4 exons.